Molecule: ribosomal RNA, 2930 nt
Filed under: Escherichia coli
Lineage: Bacteria; Pseudomonadati; Pseudomonadota; Gammaproteobacteria; Enterobacterales; Enterobacteriaceae
Description: 23S ribosomal RNA
Rfam family: Bacterial large subunit ribosomal RNA
Source: RNAcentral
GGGUUGUGAGGUUAAGCGACUAAGCGUACACGGUGGAUGCCCUGGCAGUCAGAGGCGAUGAAGGACGUGCUAAUCUGCGAUAAGCGUCGGUAAGGUGAUAUGAACCGUUAUAACCGGCGAUUUCCGAAUGGGGAAACCCAGUGUGAUUCGUCACACUAUCAUUAACUGAAUCCAUAGGUUAAUGAGGCGAACCGGGGGAACUGAAACAUCUAAGUACCCCGAGGAAAAGAAAUCAACCGAGAUUCCCCCAGUAGCGGCGAGCGAACGGGGAGGAGCCCAGAGCCUGAAUCAGUGUGUGUGUUAGUGGAAGCGUCUGGAAAGGCGCGCGAUACAGGGUGACAGCCCCGUACACAAAAAUGCACAUACUGUGAGCUCGAUGAGUAGGGCGGGACACGUGGUAUCCUGUCUGAAUAUGGGGGGACCAUCCUCCAAGGCUAAAUACUCCUGACUGACCGAUAGUGAACCAGUACCGUGAGGGAAAGGCGAAAAGAACCCCGGCGAGGGGAGUGAAAAAGAACCUGAAACCGUGUACGUACAAGCAGUGGGAGCCUCUUUUAUGGGGUGACUGCGUACCUUUUGUAUAAUGGGUCAGCGACUUAUAUUCUGUAGCAAGGUUAACCGAAUAGGGGAGCCGAAGGGAAACCGAGUCUUAACCGGGCGUUAAGUUGCAGGGUAUAGACCCGAAACCCGGUGAUCUAGCCAUGGGCAGGUUGAAGGUUGGGUAACACUAACUGGAGGACCGAACCGACUAAUGUUGAAAAAUUAGCGGAUGACUUGUGGCUGGGGGUGAAAGGCCAAUCAAACCGGGAGAUAGCUGGUUCUCCCCGAAAGCUAUUUAGGUAGCGCCUCGUGAAUUCAUCUCCGGGGGUAGAGCACUGUUUCGGCAAGGGGGUCAUCCCGACUUACCAACCCGAUGCAAACUGCGAAUACCGGAGAAUGUUAUCACGGGAGACACACGGCGGGUGCUAACGUCCGUCGUGAAGAGGGAAACAACCCAGACCGCCAGCUAAGGUCCCAAAGUCAUGGUUAAGUGGGAAACGAUGUGGGAAGGCCCAGACAGCCAGGAUGUUGGCUUAGAAGCAGCCAUCAUUUAAAGAAAGCGUAAUAGCUCACUGGUCGAGUCGGCCUGCGCGGAAGAUGUAACGGGGCUAAACCAUGCACCGAAGCUGCGGCAGCGACACUGUGUGUUGUUGGGUAGGGGAGCGUUCUGUAAGCCUGUGAAGGUGUACUGUGAGGUAUGCUGGAGGUAUCAGAAGUGCGAAUGCUGACAUAAGUAACGAUAAAGCGGGUGAAAAGCCCGCUCGCCGGAAGACCAAGGGUUCCUGUCCAACGUUAAUCGGGGCAGGGUGAGUCGACCCCUAAGGCGAGGCCGAAAGGCGUAGUCGAUGGGAAACAGGUUAAUAUUCCUGUACUUGGUGUUACUGCGAAGGGGGGACGGAGAAGGCUAUGUUGGCCGGGCGACGGUUGUCCCGGUUUAAGCGUGUAGGCUGGUUUUCCAGGCAAAUCCGGAAAAUCAAGGCUGAGGCGUGAUGACGAGGCACUACGGUGCUGAAGCAACAAAUGCCCUGCUUCCAGGAAAAGCCUCUAAGCAUCAGGUAACAUCAAAUCGUACCCCAAACCGACACAGGUGGUCAGGUAGAGAAUACCAAGGCGCUUGAGAGAACUCGGGUGAAGGAACUAGGCAAAAUGGUGCCGUAACUUCGGGAGAAGGCACGCUGAUAUGUAGGUGAAGUCCCUCGCGGAUGGAGCUGAAAUCAGUCGAAGAUACCAGCUGGCUGCAACUGUUUAUUAAAAACACAGCACUGUGCAAACACGAAAGUGGACGUAUACGGUGUGACGCCUGCCCGGUGCCGGAAGGUUAAUUGAUGGGGUCAGCGCAAGCGAAGCUCUUGAUCGAAGCCCCGGUAAACGGCGGCCGUAACUAUAACGGUCCUAAGGUAGCGAAAUUCCUUGUCGGGUAAGUUCCGACCUGCACGAAUGGCGUAAUGAUGGCCAGGCUGUCUCCACCCGAGACUCAGUGAAAUUGAACUCGCUGUGAAGAUGCAGUGUACCCGCGGCAAGACGGAAAGACCCCGUGAACCUUUACUAUAGCUUGACACUGAACAUUGAGCCUUGAUGUGUAGGAUAGGUGGGAGGCUUUGAAGUGUGGACGCCAGUCUGCAUGGAGCCGACCUUGAAAUACCACCCUUUAAUGUUUGAUGUUCUAACGUGGACCCGUGAUCCGGGUUGCGGACAGUGUCUGGUGGGUAGUUUGACUGGGGCGGUCUCCUCCUAAAGAGUAACGGAGGAGCACGAAGGUUGGCUAAUCCUGGUCGGACAUCAGGAGGUUAGUGCAAUGGCAUAAGCCAGCUUGACUGCGAGCGUGACGGCGCGAGCAGGUGCGAAAGCAGGUCAUAGUGAUCCGGUGGUUCUGAAUGGAAGGGCCAUCGCUCAACGGAUAAAAGGUACUCCGGGGAUAACAGGCUGAUACCGCCCAAGAGUUCAUAUCGACGGCGGUGUUUGGCACCUCGAUGUCGGCUCAUCACAUCCUGGGGCUGAAGUAGGUCCCAAGGGUAUGGCUGUUCGCCAUUUAAAGUGGUACGCGAGCUGGGUUUAGAACGUCGUGAGACAGUUCGGUCCCUAUCUGCCGUGGGCGCUGGAGAACUGAGGGGGGCUGCUCCUAGUACGAGAGGACCGGAGUGGACGCAUCACUGGUGUUCGGGUUGUCAUGCCAAUGGCACUGCCCGGUAGCUAAAUGCGGAAGAGAUAAGUGCUGAAAGCAUCUAAGCACGAAACUUGCCCCGAGAUGAGUUCUUCCUGACCCUUUAAGGGUCCUGAAGGAACGUUGAAGACGACGACGUUGAUAGGCCGGGUGUGUAAGCGCAGCGAUGCGUUGAGCUAACCGGUACUAAUGAACCGUGAGGCUUAACCUUACAACGCCGAAGGUGUUU